AACGAACGCUGGCGGCGUGCUUAACACAUGCAAGUCGAGCGAGAAAGGGGGCUUCGGCUCCUGAGUAAAGCGGCGCACGGGUGAGUAACACGUGGGUAACCUGCCUUUCAGUGGGGGAUAACAGUUCGAAAGGGCUGCUAAUACCGCAUUCGUCCACACGGUCACAUGUCUGUGUGGAGAAAGAGGCGCAAGUCUCGCUGGAAGAUGGGCCCGCGGUCCAUUAGCUAGUUGGUGGGGUAAAGGCCUACCAAGGCUUCGAUGGAUAGCUGGUCUGAGAGGAUGAUCAGCCACACUGGAACUGAGACACGGUCCAGACUCCUACGGGAGGCAGCAGUGGGGAAUAUUGCGCAAUGGGCGAAAGCCUGACGCAGCAACGCCGCGUGUGUGAUGAAGGCC
This 396-nucleotide ribosomal RNA is filed under the name uncultured bacterium. Its description in RNAcentral is "bacterial SSU rRNA". It matches the Rfam family "Bacterial small subunit ribosomal RNA", at positions 29 to 416 of the family's 1533-position model. The record is from RNAcentral.